CGCAAUCAACUCCUUUAGAAAAAGAACUCUUGUUCAAGUACACUGGAUUAAUCAUUUCAUCAUUACAACAAAAAAAUAAUCUGUAGCAAAAUGCAUCAAACAGAUACAGAGUAAUUAAAAUUAAGAUUAAAAUAGCAAUAAUAUUAUAUAUCAAAAAGGAUUAAAAAUAUUAAAAUUAAAAAAAAAAAGUCAUCCUGUUCUAACAAGGGACUAGCCUUUACAGCACAAACAAUAUUCACCCAAAACAAUAAUAUUGACAACACUACCAGCAAUAAAAAAGAAUCAACACAAGAAGAAACCCAGCUGCAUAUUUUUCUUGUCAACAAGGCAUUUUCUAUGCAAUGGUUUCUUUGAACUUGGCAAGAAUGGAGAGCAGAGAACUCCAUCAACCCUGUUUCCUCUCAAGAAAGUCUCACAAUUGAGUUUCCAUGUUUCUAGCACCUAAUCUCAUAUGAGCCUGCUUUAGUUAUAUAGCGGACCCACUCAACUGUGUUGUACCCACUUUUUUCCCAUACCUUGAGAAAACGAACACGUAAACCAGAUGCCGUAAACAUGGGAACCUGAAACUCCAUCUGAAUUGGUGGCCUUGUCCAAGACUUCUUCUCUGCCAUUGUAGAAAUCAGCUCAACUUCUGCACUCAAGGUGGGCUCAGUUUGUCCAGGAAAUUUUCUUAUCUUCCAAACCAAACAAUCAAUUGCAGCAUUGUACUUUGCUCGACCUGAUGUCACCCGGAAGCUUGCUUUAGCAGUUUGUUUGGGUACAGGAAUUUUGAUGACAACUCCAAGUGCAAACAUUUUUGCACCAAAGACACUCUUGACCUUAACAUUCACUUCCAUUCGCGUUCGACCAAGUUCCUUGAUUGUUGGGAAAACCCGAAAUGGAAGGUUAACUCCCUCAGUUAUGCGAUACCUACAAAAAGAUGAAUCAGCAGACAAUUAAAUAGGUCAAAAGAUUUAAAAAUAUAUAUAUAUACUGACACCACUUCCAAUGAGAAUCAACUAUACAUUUGGAGAAGUGAAAUAAUAAACCAAUUGGACUUUUUAACUACGAGAACAACGGAUAGAAGAAACAGUUUAAAAUAAGCAUUCUAAAAUAUACAAGUGCUGAUGGGACAUUUAGCGAUAAACUUCCAACUGGAAACAAAAAAACAACAUACAUUCUCAAGCAAAUGGCAAUAAGAAAGGAUGGUUACCUGACAAAAUAUAACUGCUGCACAUUAUGCAAAAUUAUAGCAUACAAGGAAACAUAAGAAACACAAAAUAUACAUUUAACCUAAUUUUUAAAAAAGAAAGGGGGAAAAAAAAGAUUAAUGUAAUCUAGGAAAGGCCUCAAUGGAAGAUAAAAUUGAAAAAGAAAUUUAAAGGUGGUCUAGAUGUGUUGCAGAGAAUAAAUACUCAAUGCAAAGAGAUGGCUCUAAGUAGAUUAGGCAAAACAAAAAUGUAAUCAUAUUUUAAUUCCUAAAAAUUGAGAUAAAUAAUCCAUUGUUGAGACAACAUGCUAGACUAUUACAUGUAUGAUUGGAAAUUUCAUUAGCAAAACAAAAUCCAUUGUUAAGCACAAUAAGUUUGUACUCUAUUGGUUGCGGUUAAUACAACAAUAAUAAUAACUAAUCAUUAAUCCCAAACUAGUUAGAGUCAGUUAUAUGAAUUAUUUUUCACCAUUCAACUUAGCUUGAAACCAAAUCUACAUCAAUAUCCAAAAAAUUAUAAAUUUUUUAAUAAUACUUCCCUCUACAUCGUUUUAGGUCUCCCCCUCUCCCUUUUGACUCCUUCAACACUAACUUAUUAUACUUCUAUGCUAAGGCAUUCAAUAUUCUACAUUGCACAUGACCAAACCAUCUUAAUCAACCUUUUUUCAUUUUAUCCCCCAUAUGUGCUACAUACACUAUCCAACGAAUGUGAUCAUUCCUAAUCUUAUCCAUUAUCAUGAUACCAGACAUCGAUCUUAACAUUUACAUCUCUAUCACACUCAUUUUGUAGGCACAUUGUACCUUAGAUGUAAUAAAACUUCGCUCCAUAUCGUUUUAGGUCUCCCCUUUUUCCUUUUCACUCCUUCUACCGCUAACUUAUUACGCUUCUGUACUAAGGCAUUCAGUACUCUACUUUGACUUGACCAAACCAUCCUAAUCAAUCCUUUUUCAUUUUA
Molecule: unclassified non-coding RNA, 2145 nt
Filed under: Hevea brasiliensis (rubber tree)
Lineage: Eukaryota; Viridiplantae; Streptophyta; Magnoliopsida; Malpighiales; Euphorbiaceae
Source: RNAcentral